This 491-nucleotide ribosomal RNA is filed under the name uncultured bacterium. Its description in RNAcentral is "partial 16S ribosomal RNA". It matches the Rfam family "Bacterial small subunit ribosomal RNA", at positions 29 to 507 of the family's 1533-position model. The record is from RNAcentral.
AGUGAACGCUGGCGGUAGGCCUAACACAUGCAAGUCGAACGGCAGCACAGUAGAGCUUGCUCUUACGGGUGGCGAGUGGCGGACGGGGGAGGAAUACAUCGGAAUCUACUUUUUCGUGGGGGAUAACGUAGGGAAACUUACGCUAAUACCGCAUACGACCUACGGGUGAAAGCAGGGGAUCUUCGGACCUUGCGCGAUUGAAUGAGCCGAUGUCGGAUUAGCCAGUUGGCGGGGUAAAGGCCCACCAAGGCGACGAUCCGUAGCUGGUCUGAGAGGAUGAUCAGCCACACUGGAACUGAGACACGGUCCAGACUCCUACGGGAGGCAGCAGUGGGGAAUAUUGGACAAAGGGCGCAAGCCUGAUCCAGCCAUACCGCGUGGGUGAAGAAGGCCUUCGGGUUGUAAAGCCCUUUUGUUGGGAAAGAAAAGCAGCAGGUUAAUACCCCGCUGUUCUGACGGUACCCAAAGAAUAAGCACCGGCUAACUUCGUG